CCCCUCUCAGGGUCGCACCUGAAGAGUUUCCAGUACUCUACCAGUCUUGACUAUGCGACGGAGAGUCAAGCAGAGGCAUACCCAUUCCAUUCUUAGCUUGGGCGGUGGCUAGCAAGUGGAAGGCAUUCUGCUACAAGU
Molecule: small nucleolar RNA, 138 nt
Organism: Tachyglossus aculeatus (Australian echidna)
Lineage: Eukaryota; Metazoa; Chordata; Mammalia; Monotremata; Tachyglossidae
Source: RefSeq, a predicted model, not a curated record